UACGGGGGGGGCAAGCGUUGUUCGGAAUUACUGGGCGUAAAGGGCUCGUAGGCGGCCAACUAAGUCAGACGUGAAAUCCCUCGGCUUAACCGGGGAACUGCGUCUGAUACUGGAUGGCUUGAGUGUGGGAGAGGGAUGCGGAAUUCCAGGUGUAGCGGUGAAAUGCGUAGAUAUCUGGAGGAACACCGGUGGCGAAGGCGGCAUCCUGGACCAACACUGACGCUGAGGAGCGAAAGCCAGGGGAGCAAACGGG
Molecule: ribosomal RNA, 253 nt
Filed under: uncultured bacterium
Lineage: Bacteria
Description: partial 16S ribosomal RNA
Rfam family: Bacterial small subunit ribosomal RNA
Source: RNAcentral